CCCAUUGUGAACUGGCAGCUCAAGAGUACUGGCUGAAAACUCAAGCUUUGUUGAGGGAGAAAGUGGAAGAGACCCAGGAGGCUGCCCGCUUGAGGUGCAGAUUGGAAAUUAUACGGAGUCAGAAGCCGCAAGGGGCAUACGGAUGGAGACAGCUGCACGAAGGUCGCCGGACAGCCAGAC
This is a non-coding RNA of Microcebus murinus (gray mouse lemur), 180 nucleotides long. The record is from RefSeq and is a predicted model, not a curated record. NCBI's taxonomy places the organism in Eukaryota, Metazoa, Chordata, Mammalia, Primates, Cheirogaleidae.